AUAGCGUAUAUUAAAGUUGUUGAGGUUAAAAAGCUCGUAGUUGAACCUUGGGCCUAGCCGGCCGGUCCGCUUCACCGCGUGCACUGGCUCGGCUGGGCCUUUCCUUCUGGGGAACCGCGUGCCCUUCACUGGGUGUGCUGGGGAACCAGGACUUUUACUCUGAAAAAAUUAGAUUGUUUAAAGAAGGCCUAUGCCCGAAUACAUUAGCAUGGAAUAAUAAAAUAGGACGUGUGGUUCUAUUUUGUUGUUUUCUAGAACCGCCGUAAUGAUUAAUAGGGACAGUCGGGGGCAUCAGUAUUCAAUUGUCAGAGGUGAAAUUCUUGGAUUUAUUGAAGACUAACUACUG
This 346-nucleotide ribosomal RNA is filed under the name Chaetomium strumarium. RNAcentral describes it as "SSU rRNA". It matches the Rfam family "Eukaryotic small subunit ribosomal RNA", at positions 594 to 945 of the family's 1831-position model. The record is from RNAcentral. Lineage: Eukaryota; Fungi; Ascomycota; Sordariomycetes; Sordariales; Chaetomiaceae.